Molecule: non-coding RNA, 777 nt
Filed under: Velinus nodipes
Lineage: Eukaryota; Metazoa; Arthropoda; Insecta; Hemiptera; Reduviidae
Source: RNAcentral
UAAAAGUUUGAUUCUGGUUUAGAUUGGAAUUCAUUUAUUGAUAAUUGUACAUGCAAGUAUUUGCUUGAUAUUUUACGAUCUUGAUGGUCAUUUAUAUUAUUUGCAGUUCUUAAUUUUAAGAUUUAAGGAAUUUUAGAUUUAGUUAAUCAAUAAAAUUCUGACGAAGGUUGUGCCAGCAUUCGCGGUUAUACAUCCGGGGUUAAUGAAUUGAAUUUAGUUAUAAUUUAAUUUUGAUUUAAUUUUAUUUAACAGUGAAUUUUUAGGUGAAAUUAGGAAUUUAUGUAAUUUAUUUUUUAUGAUUAAAUUAGAAAAUUCAAAUAUAAAACUAGGAUUAGAUACCCUAUUAUUUGGAAUUGUUAAUAUUUAUUACUAUAGUAUUAAUAGAUAUGUUCUUUAAAUUAAAAGAAUUUGGCGGUAAUUUAGUCUUUCUAGAGGAACCUGCCCUGUAAUUGAUAUCCCACGAUGAAUUUUACUUUAUUUAUUACUUAUAUAUCUCUGUCAUGAAUGUCUUAUUAGGGUAUUUUCUUUAAUUUUUAUUGGAUUUAAUGUCAGGUCAAGGUGUAGUUAUAAUAAAGAAGUGGUGGGUUACAAUAAUUUUAUUUUUGGAUAAAAUUAUGGAAAUAUUUUUGAAAUUGGAUUUAGAAGUAAAAGUUAUUAGAAUAUAACUUUGACAUAUUGCUCUGAAUUAUGCACACAUCGCCCGUCGCUCUCAUCGAUAAUCUAAAGAUGAGAUAAGUCGUAACAAAGUAGGCCUACCGGAAGGUGGGCCUGGUUAGU